This is a non-coding RNA of Mus musculus (house mouse), 417 nucleotides long. The record is from the annotation of a RefSeq genome assembly. NCBI's taxonomy places the organism in Eukaryota, Metazoa, Chordata, Mammalia, Rodentia, Muridae.
AGUGAGAGCUUUUGGGGAACAAGGUGUUUGUCAGUGUUCAUUAUCAGUCUGUGGAGAUAAUCAGACUGGACUUCUCUAGAUUGCCUGAAAUCACUGUAGGGAGGAAAGCAAUGGCUGGAGAAUGGCGUGUGAGCAGAGGCGAGCAGGUGGAGCAGCGCCCUCCUCACCUGAGUGUCCGGGAGGGAGACAGCGCCAUUAUCAUCUGCACCUACACAGACAGUGCCACUGCUUACUUCUCCUGGUACAAGCAAGAGGCGGGGGCAGGUCUUCAGUUGCUUAUGAGUGUCCUUUCAAAUGUGGACAGAAAAGAAGAACAAGGACUCACUGUCUUACUGAACAAGAAAGACAAACGACUCUCUCUGAACCUCACAGCUGCCCAUCCUGGGGACUCAGCCGUGUACUUCUGCGCAGUCAGUG